CCUACGGGUGGCAGCAGUCGAGAAUCAUUCACAAUGGGGGAAACCCUGAUGGUGCGACGCCGCGUGGGGGAAUGAAGGUCUUCGGAUUGUAAACCCCUGUCAUGUGGGAGCAAAUUAAAAAGAUAGUACCACAAGAGGAAGAGCCGGCUAACUCUGUGCCAGCAGCCGCGGUAAUACAGAGGUCUCAAGCGUUGUUCGGAAUCACUGGGCGUAAAGCGUGCGUAGGCUGUUUCGUAAGUCGUGUGUGAAAGGCGCGGGCUCAACCCGCGGACGGCACAUGAUACUGCGAGACUAGAGUAAGGGAGGGGGAACCGGAAUUCUCGGUGUAGCAGUGAAAUGCGUAGAUAUCGAGAGGAACACUCGUGGCGAAGGCGGGUUCCUGGACAGUAACUGACGCUGAGGCACGAAGGCCAGGGGAGCGAAAGGGAUUAGAUACCCUAGUAGUC
Molecule: ribosomal RNA, 446 nt
Filed under: uncultured bacterium
Lineage: Bacteria
Description: partial 16S ribosomal RNA
Rfam family: Bacterial small subunit ribosomal RNA
Source: RNAcentral